GUAGUCCUUGCCGUAAACUAUGUAUACUUGGUGUAGCUGGAAUCAACCCUGGCUGUGCCGUAGCUAACGCGAUAAGUAUACCGCCUGGGGAGUACGCUCGCAAGGGUGAAACUCAAAAGAAUUGACGGGGACCCGCACAAGCAGUGGAGCAUGUGGUUUAAUUCGAUGCAACGCGAAGAACCUUACCCAGACUUGACAUACAGUGGAAUAUGGUAGAAAUAUCAUAGCCCUUCGGGGCCGCUGAACAGGUGCUGCAUGGCUGUCGUCAGCUCGUGCCGUGAGGUGUUGGGUUAAGUCCCGCAACGAGCGCAACCCUUAUCGUUAGUUGCCAACAGGUAAUGCUGGGAACUCUAGCGAGACUGCCUGGGUUAACCAGGA
RNAcentral lists this ribosomal RNA (378 nucleotides) under uncultured bacterium. RNAcentral's name for it is "bacterial SSU rRNA". It matches the Rfam family "Bacterial small subunit ribosomal RNA", at positions 790 to 1167 of the family's 1533-position model. The record is from RNAcentral.